Molecule: unclassified non-coding RNA, 298 nt
Organism: Vombatus ursinus (common wombat)
Lineage: Eukaryota; Metazoa; Chordata; Mammalia; Diprotodontia; Vombatidae
Rfam family: Metazoan signal recognition particle RNA
About the family: The signal recognition particle (SRP) is a universally conserved ribonucleoprotein. It is involved in the co-translational targeting of proteins to membranes.
Source: Ensembl
GCUGGGGUUGGUGGUCCAUGCCUGUAAUCCCUGCUACCCAGGAGACUGAGGCUGGCAAAUUUCUUAAGCUCAAGAGUUCUGCGCCACAGUGGACAAUGACAAUCAGGUAUCUGAACUAAGUUCAGCAUUAAUACGGUGAGUCCUUGCUCCUGAGGAGCCACCAGGUGGCCUAAGGAGCUGUGAACUGGCCCAGGUUGGAACUGGAGCUGGUCAAGUGGGAACUGAUCAGUAGUGGGAUUGGGCUUGUGAGUAGCCCCUGUACUUCCAGGUUGGGUGAAAUAGGAAGAGUCAGUCUUUA